GACGAACGCUGGCGGCGUGCUUAACACAUGCAAGUCGAACGGAAAGGCCCUGCUUUUGUGGGGUGCUCGAGUGGCGAACGGGUGAGUAACACGUGAGUAACCUGCCCUUGACUUUGGUAUAACUUCAGGAAACUGGGGCUAAUACCGGAUAGGAGCUCCUGCUGCAUGGUGGGGGUUGGAAAGUUUCGGCGGUUGUGGAUGGACUCGCGGCUUAUCAGCUUGUUGGUGGGGUAGUGGCUUACCAAGGCUUUGACGGGUAGCCGGCCUGAGGGGUUGACCGGCCAAAGGGGGACUGAGAUACGGCCCAGACUCCUACGGGAGGCAGCAGUGGGGAAUAUUGCAAAAUGGGCGGAAGCCUGAUGCAGAAACGCCGCGUGCGGGAUGACGGCCUUCGGGUUGUAAACCGCUUUCGCAUGUGACGAAGCGUGAGUGACGGUAAUGGGUAAAGAAGCACCGGCUAACUACGUG
Molecule: ribosomal RNA, 468 nt
Filed under: uncultured bacterium
Lineage: Bacteria
Description: partial 16S ribosomal RNA
Rfam family: Bacterial small subunit ribosomal RNA
Source: RNAcentral